Molecule: ribosomal RNA, 253 nt
Filed under: uncultured bacterium
Lineage: Bacteria
Description: partial 16S ribosomal RNA
Rfam family: Bacterial small subunit ribosomal RNA
Source: RNAcentral
UACGUAGGGUGCAAGCGUUAAUCGGAAUUACUGGGCGUAAAGCGUGCGCAGGCGGUUUUGUAAGACAGGCGUGAAAUCCCCGGGCUCAACCUGGGAACUGCAUUUGUGACUGCAAGGCUAGAGUACGGCAGAGGGGGAUGGAAUUCCGCGUGUAGCAGUGAAAUGCGUAGAUAUGCGGAGGAACACCAAUGGCGAAGGCAAUCCCCUGGGCCUGUACUGACGCUCAUGCACGAAAGCGUGGGGAGCAAACAGG